Long non-coding RNA from Ctenocephalides felis (cat flea), 243 nucleotides. RefSeq lists it as uncharacterized. Lineage: Eukaryota; Metazoa; Arthropoda; Insecta; Siphonaptera; Pulicidae. The record is from RefSeq and is a predicted model, not a curated record. The transcript is spliced from 4 exons.
GGAAGGCUCUCGUGCUUCUUGAUAGUGAAGGUUUCGAAAUAGACAAUGGAAUUUAGUAAAGAUGGAAAGUGUUUGAACAUCAUCGUGCUCUGCCAAGGGCCUAAUCAGGGAAGACAAAUGAAUUCGAAAAUGACAUUGUCUACGGCAGAGCUUUAGAAGCAACAUUAUCCCUGCAUGGCAGCAAUAGUGACCAUAAGUCAUUUGCGAUCACUAUGCAAAGGCCAAGUGUAUCAGGUCUUAAUC